CCUUCCUUUACAACACAAUGGUAAAGUGAAAUUGGAAAUUUCACUAUAAGGCAACAAGUAAGAAAUUUGCUCUAAAAGAAGCCGGACGUGGUGGCGCAUGCCUGUGAUCCCAGCACUUGGGAGGCUGAGAUAGGAGGAUCACCAUGAGUUUGAGGCCAACUUGGGCUACAUAGUGAGUUCAAGGCCAGUCUGAAUUACAGAGCAAGACUCUGUGCCGGGGCGGGGGCGGGGGGGGAGGCUCUAAGAGCGAAUUUAGUUUCAUCACUGUUGGCAAGUCAACAUCACUGUUGGGACUCGCUGGGCUGCUGUCCACUUUACUAAGGAGCCUGAAAACUGGCCACUAUCCUUUCAGUAUACAAACACUAAAAUCAUCUAGACUUUAAAAUAGUUUUCCAAUUGAAAUACCAAUCAUUUCAUAAAGCAAUCAACACAGCUGUGGACAUAACUCAGAAUUUCAGUGACAAGGAACUCAUACACAGCUGUCAGCACCUUAAAGAAAAUGGUCUACUGCAGGGGCCAAACCCAACCUAGUCCAGUCACAGACUCCAUUCGAGUACCGGCUGCAGCUGGGUCCACAUGAAACGGAGGCGCUGAGGAGCUACCAGAGACCAUGGAACCUGGGAACCCAACAUUACCUUGCAGAAGGCUUUCCAAACAGAAUCAGAAUAGAUCUGCUCUUUUGAGAAAUUUGUUGCAGGAAAAAUUUGCUCAGGUAGAUUUGAAAUAUAUAUAUACAUAUAUACAACAUAUACAUAUCAUAUAUACAUUACAUACAUGUCAUAUAUGUGUAUAGCACACGAGUAAAGCAUCAAAUUUCAAAAGUAAAAUGAUUUAAAUUAAUAUUGGUAAUUGCUGACUUCUUAGUCUUAUUUUCUGCUUAUAUCUUGUGCCAAUGGUCUAAGCGUUCCUUGACCAGGAUUUAAUGAGGUAAAAUGUUUCAAAAAAUUGGGGUAUUGGGCCAGGGAUUUAGCUCAGUGGUUCUGCCGCCUGCCCAGCAAGCGCAAGGACCCAAGUUUGAUCCCCGGUACCAAAAAAAAAAAAAAAUAGGUGUUUUAAAAAAGGAGUAUGAAUAUGUAAAGGAGAUUGAGUUUUUUGUGAAAAUUUUCCUUAUAGAUGAAUUAGUUUUUCUCCUCAUGAAAAUCCUGAGAUUAUCUAAAAUAG
Molecule: long non-coding RNA, 1161 nt
Filed under: Heterocephalus glaber (naked mole-rat)
Lineage: Eukaryota; Metazoa; Chordata; Mammalia; Rodentia; Bathyergidae
Description: lncRNA (ENSHGLG00000035442.1)
Source: RNAcentral